RNAcentral lists this ribosomal RNA (490 nucleotides) under uncultured bacterium. RNAcentral's name for it is "partial 16S ribosomal RNA". It matches the Rfam family "Bacterial small subunit ribosomal RNA", at positions 30 to 507 of the family's 1533-position model. The record is from RNAcentral.
AUUGAACGCUGGCGGCAGGCUUAACACAUGCAAGUCGAGCGGUAGCACAGGGGAGCUUGCUCCCUGGGUGACGAGCGGCGGACGGGUGAGUAAUGUCUGGGAAACUGCCUGAUGGAGGGGGAUAACUACUGGAAACGGUAGCUAAUACCGCAUAACGUCGCAAGACCAAAGAGGGAGACCUUCGGGCCUCUUGCCAUCAGAUGUGCCCAGAUGGGAUUAGCUAGUAGGUGGGGUAAUGGCUCACCUAGGCGACGAUCCCUAGCUGGUCUGAGAGGAUGACCAGCCACACUGGAACUGAGACACGGUCCAGACUCCUACGGGAGGCAGCAGUGGGGAAUAUUGCACAAUGGGCGCAAGCCUGAUGCAGCCAUGCCGCGUGUGUGAAGAAGGCCUUCGGGUUGUAAAGCACUUUCAGCGAGGAGGAAGGUGGUGAGCUUAAUACGUUCAUCAAUUGACGUUACUCGCAGAAGAAGCACCGGCUAACUCCGUG